GUGGGACUUCAGCUACAAACUUAUUUGAGAUGGCAGGUUCUGCCACAAUUUUGAUUUCUCAGAAGGUCAUUAACCCUCUCUGAGAUUUGUGAUAAUGAAGCCCUUUGUGGGAUUAGCAGGGCUAUUCCUCUUAUUUUCUCAAAUGAAGCUUCAAGAAUUUCCAAUGACUGUGGAAUGUAGUCUUCUCAUGUUCCGGGUGUCAGUGAAAAAAAAUAUAUUUGGUGCUGCCAAUCUUGUGACUGCUGAAGAACUGAUGCUUGGGACAGGUUGUCAAGUUAAUGGAGAGAAGCCAAAUAUAUUUGAGCUACACUACAGUGUGUCAGAGUGUGGGAUUCAGAUUAAGACUUUUGAAACACAUGCGGUCUAUAAAGUUAGUCUCCAUUAUACCCCAAAGAAUCCCACUUUUGGUCUUGUGACACGUGAAUUCUCCUUGGCCUGCACAGUGUUCAAGCUGCAAUAUUUCCCGAAGACAGAGAAUCCUGAUCUUUUUGGACCAGACAAAGAAGACCAAGAACCUAUUGACAUAAGAAACCAGGCUAGUGUUCCUGACCCCUCCUGUUGGAGACAAGCACUCCGUGAGAUCCCAUGGAGCAAAGCAUAAAGUCUCUGUAGAACAGGAGACUCAAUCUUGGAACCGGUUCUCUUUCCCAUCUUGUCUCUGAGUUCUGCAGUUUGUCACCUUCUUUGCCCUGGAGAUAUUGGGCUAUCUUGCAUCUUGAGAUAUUACCAAGGAGGUAGCUAAAGGACAGCCAAUGCGAAACAAGUGUAUCAUCCUCGCCACUCUGGUUCCAAACUUUGGGAAGCUGGCAUUGUUUAAACUUGCCUUGGUGAGCCUCUCAGGAUGUUUUUAACAUUCAUUUUAAAGAAAUAAACCUUUCCAGUACUGCCCUUAUUUUGUAAUC
RNAcentral lists this long non-coding RNA (902 nucleotides) under Monodelphis domestica (gray short-tailed opossum). RNAcentral describes it as "lncRNA (ENSMODG00000043101.1)". The record is from RNAcentral. Lineage: Eukaryota; Metazoa; Chordata; Mammalia; Didelphimorphia; Didelphidae.